UGUUUUUCAAAGCUAACGCAUUAAGUAGACCGCUGGGAGUACGGCCGCAAGGUUAAAACUCAAAUGAAUUGACGGGGGCCCGCACAAGCGGUGGAGCAUGUGGUUUAAUUCGAUGCAACGCGAAGAACCUUACCUACACUUGACAUACAGAGAACUUACCAGAGGUGGAUUGGUGCCUUCGGGAACUCUGAGACAGGUGCUGCAUGGCUGUCGUCAGCUCGUGUUGUGAAAUGUUGGGUUAAGUCCCGCAACGAGCGCAACCCUUAUCCUUUGUUGCCAGCGAGUAAUGUCGGGAACUCAAAGGAGACUGCCGGUGAUAAACCGGAGGAAGGUGGGGAUGACGUCAAGUCAUCAUGGCCCUUACGAGUAGGGCUACACACGUGCUACAAUGGCGUAUACAAAGGGAAGCGACCCCGCGAGGGCAAGCGGAACUCAUAAAGUACAUCGUAGUCCGGAUUGGAGUCUGCAACUCGACUCCAUGAAGUCGGAAUCGCUAGUAAUCGUAGAUCAGAAUGCUACGGUGAAUACGUUCCCGGGCCUUGUACACACCGCCCGUCACACCAUGGGAGUGGGUUGCAAAAGAAGUAGGUAGCUUAACCUCCGGGAGGGCGCUUACCACUUUGAGAUUCAAGCUCCUGGGGUGAAGUCGUAACAAG
This 656-nucleotide ribosomal RNA is filed under the name uncultured bacterium. Its description in RNAcentral is "bacterial SSU rRNA". It matches the Rfam family "Bacterial small subunit ribosomal RNA", at positions 840 to 1495 of the family's 1533-position model. The record is from RNAcentral.